Danio rerio (zebrafish) is the source of this 1773-nucleotide non-coding RNA. Lineage: Eukaryota; Metazoa; Chordata; Actinopteri; Cypriniformes; Danionidae. The record is from RefSeq and is a predicted model, not a curated record.
CAGUCUGGAUCAUGGAGGACACACGAGGAUUACAGCAGGACCACGCAAAUAUGCCUGUUUCCUCACUCUGGAUCCAAACACAACAUACGCUUUUCUCAUUCUGUCUGAGGAGAACAGAGAGGUGAAGCGUGUGAGAGAGUAUCAGCGGUAUCCUGAUCAUCCAGACAGAUUUGAUGGUAUUUAUUCUCAGGUGUUGUGCAGAGAGAGUGUGUGUGGACGCUGUUAUUGGGAGAUUGACUGGAGUGGAGAUGAUGUGUGGAUAUCAGUGUCAUAUAAGAGCAUCAGGAGGAAGGGAGUAGAUCCUGAGUAUUUGUUCGGAUGUAAUGCUCAGUCCUGGAGUUUGCGCUGCUAUUCCUCCAGUUAUAUAUUUUGGCAAAAUGACACACGCACUGAUCUCCCAGUGAAACCGCUCAGCAGGAGAAUAGGAGUGUUUGUGGAUCACAGUGCAGGAACUCUGAUCUUCUACAACAUCUAUAGAGACACAAUGAGCCUCAUCCACUCAGUCCAGACCACAUUCACUGAGCCGCUCUAUCCUGGGUUUACUAUUUGGUGUCAAUCAUCAGUCAAACUGUGCUGAAGACUGAGAAGGAGCAGUCAGUAGCAGUGUGUGUGUGUGUGUGUGAGAGAGAGAGAGAGUGUUUGUUUGUGUAUGUGUGAAAGAGCAUGUGUGUGCGAGUGUGUGUGUGUGUUUGAGUGUGUGCAUGAGUGUAUGUUUGUCUGUGUGGGAUUUUUUUUUCUACAAAAAUACUUUCUUACAUCAUUUUUUUUUGACACAUUGUAACUCCACAUCAGAUGUAACAGCAGCUCUCCUACCUCCACACUGCAGACAGCGUCCUUAUAACAGCACUGUUGUUCAAAGGUUUCAGCAUCAUUUAUGGCCUUGUAAUACUUUAAAUAUAUUUUAAUUCUGGACCUGACGAACGCUUUAAAACUCCCAAUCUCUUGACCAUGUACAUCAGGGGUGUCAAACUCAAUUCCUGGAGGGCCGAAGCCCUGUACAGUUUAGUUCCAACCCUGCUCCAACACACUUACCUGUAGAUUUCAAACAAGCCUGAAGGACUAAAUUAGUUUGAUCAGGUGUGUUUAAUUAGGGUUGGAACUAAACUGUGCAGAGCUGCGGCCCUUUUGCAACUGAGUUUGACACCUGUGAUGCACAUCAUCUAUUUAGUUUCUUCUUGUGAUAAGUAGAGCAAGUUUUGCUUGAGCAACUAAACAGUGAAUGAACUGCUAUUUCAGUUUGUGUUUCUGACUAUAGCCAGCUCCAGAAGAAACUUACAUUGAGUCAAAUUCUCUCCACAUUUCAGGAAAACUCUGCUCAACAUAUCAAACUAUUGUGUUAAACGUGUACAGUCUCUCUAUGUCCACAGAAGAGACACUCGUCAUGGACACUAGAGUGAACAACACGUAUGAAAUCAUUCACUGCCACAAUCCCCUGCAGAAUCCUCCAUUGUAAAUCCCCAACACAUUUUGUCAAAGUUGGUUUAUACAAAACUCUCCACACUGGUUUUCCCCCUAAAGUAUCAUGAAAUGUCAGUUAUUUCUGUUAAUCUGCCUUUGUCACCUCUCUGAUCCGUAAUAAUAAUAAUAAUAAUCAUAAUAUUAGACAUUUGUUUGGACAUGAUGUGCUCUCUUCAACAAGCAGCUUUUCUCUUCAUUCUGCAGGCUGUUCGCUCUGGCAGUUGGUCAGAUAUUUGUAAGCAAGCCUAUAAUAAAAAGCAGAGUUAUUCUGCAGUCAGGUGAUGUGCUCCAUCAGGCACAACAAUCUUGAUAGUA